CAGUCUCCGGGGUCUUCAUCCAGCCUGAGCACCGUGCAUGGAGCCUGGCCUGAAGUGCUCCAGCUCAGAGGAGGAGGAGGGAGAGGCAGGCACCUUCUGUCCAACAGGAAGAAGGAACCCAAGACUGAAGACCCACAGCUAAAGAUGAUGAAACUAAGACUAAGAGAAGUUCACCAACUUGUCCAAGGCCACAACUCACAGUGGAAUCUGAACUCGGCUCCAUAUGACUCGAGUCCCACGAUCUUUUCAUGUUCCCUGCUACCUCUCCCUCUCAGCCUGCUACAGUGAUGGGACAUUUAUGAACUUGCAAAAUGCUUUCUUACAAAUUAUCUUAUUUGAUUUUCACAAACAUGUGUGAGGCAGGUAUAAGUUCUGUUCUAUGGAUGAACAAUUAGUCUUCAGGUAAAGAACAACUUGUCCAAGGUCAAAUAGCUGAUAAGUAUCUGGGAACUGGGACCUAAAUACACAUUUUAUGAGUAACUUUGCCACAAUAUCUUAUCUGGACACUUGAAAACAUACUCCAGCCCUGUCAUAAACCCAGGAGAAUUUGAAGAUGUCCCUCCCUACUUACAGCCUGGUUUCAUGAUCACUAGAAACUUGUUUAACUAAACUCCUUUCUGUUCUCAGGAUGGCUCAGGGGACUGAGCUGGAAAAAAAAAAGGCCUCAGAAGGGAAAUGGAGGCCCAGAAAGCUUUGGUGAGCAGCUCGAGAUUACAUAGGACAUGGAGACCAGAACUCAUGUUUCCUCAAAUAGUUCAUUUCCAGGGGGCUUUUAGGCUAUUACUUCUAUAAUCUGCCCUCUGUCUGCCUCAGGGACUCUCCCCUCCAACCCCCAUUUGGACCAUGAACUGAUGCCAAUGGCACCAAGGAAGCAUCAACUGAUACUGGGCAGAAGGGCAGGGCAGUGGCCCCUGGGAGUCUUCAUGGCUCCUCUGGCAGAAAGUACCUGGAGGCAUCAGCUCAUGGACCUGGAGCAUAUCAGCAAGGAACAGAGAUAAACUGUACCGCAUCACCACCCUGGCACUACUCAUGAGAAACUUUCCCAACCAUUAUGCUUGGUUGACUUGGCCGGGAAGGAGUUAACACACAACAUGUGAGGAGUACACUGAGUAGGGAGCUGUGUUCUUGGGUGACCUGUGGGUAUCUGGGCCCAUUUAAUGCACCAAGUCUUCAAAUAGUGGCAGCCAUCACAGGCUCUCCUGUCUGCUUGUGCAUGCACACGGGGAUCCUUCACUUGGUGGCUUCUCCCCAAGCAAACAUUUUUAGCCCAUCCUGGUUUCUCCUCACUGCCCUCUCUACCCUGGGAAAUGCAAUCCACAUUGUCCAAGUCAGACCUAAUUAGACCAGCAAAUCGGUGGCACUCAAGUCAUCACAGCACACUCCAAGCACAAGAGGAAAUGCUGUGUAGGUUAUCCUGUGCGCUGCUUGUUGUGUCUGUUUGUGUUUCCUUGGAUUAUCCAUUCUCUGCUCCCUGCCUUCCAUUACCUCACUAAUGGAGAGGCAGGAUGCAGUCCUCCACAGGCCAGCAUUCAUCUUCCCAGUCUGACCCUCUCGGAGGCUAUUACGCUGCUGUCGCAAGAUCGACGAGGGGAGAAAAAUGAAAACAGUGCACAGGGAACAAUGGAGGGCAAAUGGGACUCUUUUAGAACCGGAUCCACUGAUACGUCAGGCCAAGGAGAAAUGACCACAAGCUGUGAAAAGUGGAGAGCUCCCCCAGACAGCAAAGCCAGAUAAGUGAAAUGAGGCUCAACGAGAGACUGAGACACGUCCAGGGUCAUAGAGCUGGGAAGCAGAAGCCACAGGAUUCUAACCCAGAUGGAUCCAACUUUCAAGAAAAUGCUCUCUUCAGCACAUCAGGCUGCUUCCCACAAAUGCACAACAGAUUGCAGCAUCAAGAGUGACCGAAAGAGACAGAAGCAGCAAAGUUGUAUGCAGGAAGACUGCAGCCACACAGUAAAUCUGAGGCUUCCCACUGCCUUGCCCUGGGGAAAUUGUUCUGAGGUUGGCUAAGCUUUGCCGAAGAAAAGUGGAGAGGGGUCUGGCCCCUGCUCCUCUCAGCCCCUGUGAUUGCUAGGCGGGUUCUCCCCCUCCCUGCUUUCCCCCACUACCCAAGUGAUCUGGCAUUUCAUUUAGGGCUGCCCUGCUUGGUUCUUUGAGUGUGUGAGAGGCCUAGAAGCAGCAAGGAUCUGUCCUUGGAUACUCUACUCCCACCCCUCUCCCCACAGGACCAAGUGACUCCUGGGCCCAGGUACCCUUUUGUUCUCAGGGCCCAGGAAACAGAUAGGAGAGUGGUGGAAAACAUGAGUGGUCUGACCUGCCACGUUUGAAUGCGGCUGUCAGCCCCCCAUGCCUGCCCAAAUCUGCCUGACAGGUGAGCAGCUGUGCACAUCUGUCUGUCCAUCUGUCUCCCUCUCAGGGGCCUGCAGAGAGCCAAUACUCCUCAGGGAGGGGAGGCCCUGGACCUGAAGCAGCUUCCUUACUUUGGAUGUUACUCAGCAGGGACUAGGAAGGGUGGGGCAGGAUAAGUGUGCCUCUGUCCCCAUCCAAAAUCUGACCCCCUCCUGCCACCAACUGCCAAGUCCGCCUCACUGCCUCCCCUCCCCUCCUCACUACUCUCCCAGCUCUUCCUGCCAAGCUCUGCAAAUUACCACACAUGCCAAUAAGUCAUUAGAAACCAGAACGGCAAAUGUGAGGUUGCCAUGGAGACCAACACCGGGGAGCUGACAGCCCUGGGGGCCGGCCGGUGGCUCAGGUGUGUUUCAGGGAGAGCUGGGAAGGUCAAAAUGCCUGGCAGAGGGUAUACGCACUACUGGGGCACUGAUUUUAGGCAAGGCUCUGCCUCUCCUGCUUUUCCUCUCCCUUCCCUCCCACAGCCCUGGGUCCUGCCCACCUGCAGCUUGUUAUGGGUGAUAAAUGCUGCAUAAGCUUCACGAGGGCAGGUGCAGCCUGGGCCAGUGGACUGGGUCCUCUCCUUUCCCAGAGCUGUGUCUCCACUCAGAGCAGGUGACUGUGAGAAAGCCCACCUGGUGACCAGUUCCAGGACAAAGAACACAGACAGAUCUGAGCAACCUGGGCUGGCUGUGGAUGUUUGGAGAAAGCUGAGGCCCAGGAAGGGGCUGAGGUCAGGACUGGAACUCAGAGCUGCUCAUCUUCCUGCGCCAGUGCUCACGUCGCCUCUGCCCAGUUCUUAGCACAGUGCUUGGGCCUUUAUAUGCACACGUUUGUUGAAAAUGUAAAAAUAUACACAUACAAUUGUUGU
Long non-coding RNA from Pan troglodytes (chimpanzee), 3259 nucleotides. RefSeq lists it as uncharacterized. The transcript is spliced from 4 exons. Lineage: Eukaryota; Metazoa; Chordata; Mammalia; Primates; Hominidae. The record is from RefSeq and is a predicted model, not a curated record.